ACUAUUGGAGUUAGAACAGCAUAUGUUCUAUAGGCUCGUACCGUUGCAUCCUUUACCAACAAGGAGGCAAGCACUCAAGUCUGGUUGACGAGUCCAUGACCUCUGGGCCCGCUGGAUUUUUCACAUUUUGGUCUUUUUGAAAAAAUUAUUUCGCAAAUAGACGCUUGGAAAAACUUAUCCCAGAAAUGGUCUUUUUGCGCCAGCCA
This 206-nucleotide small nucleolar RNA is filed under the name Oryza sativa Japonica Group (Japanese rice). RNAcentral's name for it is "snoRNA Plant_U3". Lineage: Eukaryota; Viridiplantae; Streptophyta; Magnoliopsida; Poales; Poaceae. The record is from RNAcentral.